Long non-coding RNA from Cavia porcellus (domestic guinea pig), 2128 nucleotides. RefSeq lists it as uncharacterized. NCBI's taxonomy places the organism in Eukaryota, Metazoa, Chordata, Mammalia, Rodentia, Caviidae. The record is from RefSeq and is a predicted model, not a curated record. The transcript is spliced from 2 exons.
GCCGGGAGGCUGGGCCGGGCCCUGCGGCUUCAUCUUCCCUCCUGCUUAUCUCUUACCUCUUUGAUAACCAAACCAUGAAAUAAGACACAUUGUUUCAGAGUCCUGAAAAUUACAGUGUGAAGCAAGUUCCUUUAUUCUCUCUUCAAUCUCCCUUUACAUUGACAUGUAACAUGAAUUGACAGGGAUUUCAUCAGGAUUUUGACUUGAGACUGAGCUGUUUAUACCACACGUCUAUUCAAAGCAAAGGGACAGGUGAGGAAAAGGAGCCAGAGAUUAGCCCUUUGUUAUAAAAUACCCCAUGAAAACAGGAAGCUCUUGGGUCAGUGUUACAGUGCCUAACAGUGGCUAAGAAGAAGCCUUAACUUGGUAUUAGUGGAAACAGUAAGUAUUAAUAGAAAUACUAGAAAUAAUUUUUGUGUAAUGACUUAUGUUCUAAGUAACAAUUUUUUUUAGCACAUACUUAAAUUCUGUCACAGCACUUUUAAUCUUUGAGCAUCUUAACAGCUAAUAUUUUUACUGAAAAGCCCCUUUGACAAGUACUUUGAAGAGAACCAUUUUCACAUUACCCUACGAUUAUUCUGGGUAGCUGUUCCCUUUGAGAGUGUGCAUUCUUUAAUUUGUUUCUUGCAAGAUGUUAAGAAUUAGAUAGAAAAAGAACACUUUUACGAGACAAAAGCUAUUUCCCAAAUUCUUUCCAUGCCCUUACCCUAGUCUCGUUUCAAGAGAAUAGUUGCUAUUACCCACAAAGUAAUGCCUUUCAAAUCCCAGUAAUUAAAUGCUUAAGAAGAUUAAAGCUUUAUUUGCUCAAACCAUAAAUCCACAGGAGCUCUAUUAGUAACUAAUUAAAAUGAUCAUUACUGUUAGGAAGUGAGGACUUGUAGAAUAUUGCUUUUCAAAAGUACACUUGGCACUUUACAGUGCCAUCCAGACAGAGCCAAGUGAGUGCUGGUCACAUGAGCCACACUCCUGGUUUGGGCUCAGCCUGGCAAUCUGCUGCUUUGAGUUAGGGACCGCUAUACCUCGUCUGACUUGGCUUCUUUCCAGGCCAAACUGAGGGACAGAACAGCCAGUAUCUUUUCCCUCCAAACAAAUAUCCUCUUCCUUCUGUGCACAGAGACUCAAAGGAGGAUGACAAGGUGAUUCUCAGAGCUUGAAAUCAGGUGGUAACAGGGUCACUCACACCACUCCCACCUCGUCGAAAAACUUUCACGAAGCUGGUCGCUGAUGGAAAACCUUGGAGACUGCUGCCAUACAACAUGUUUGUCCAUACCAUUAAUAAAAUCCACUUAUUCAGAUAUCAUUGUUAUUUUAUUAUUUUUAUGUGGGUGCCCUUGGACUUACUAUGUAGCUCCGGCUGGCCUCACACUUGUGGCAGUCCUCCCAAUGACUGGGUAUACAGGCACGCACCCCUACACCCGGCUUUCAAACAUCAUUUUUAAAAGUAUGUAUUACAAAUAAUACAUGUUUUUUGUAGAAAAGUUACAGAGUGCUCAUUCACAAAUAGAAAGCAGGCUAAUGACUCAACACCACCAGCAGUCAGGAACAUCUCUCUUAACAUGUUAACAUACACCUUCCCUUACUUUUGGGGGGUUUUUUGUUUUGUUGUUUUUGUCUUUUUGAGACAGGCUUGCCUUUUAACUCACUGUGUAACCCAGACUGGCCUCAAACUCACAGCCUCCCAAGGGCUGCAUUUACAAGUGUACACCGCUGCACCCACUUGUUACAUGUUUUCUACAUAUGUAAAAAUUUUUAAGAAAAAUACGAAAUCCUCUUAUACAUGCUGAUUUAUUUUUCUUUCCUAUUUCCUAGUACUUUCCAAAUCCCUCAUCAUGGAUACCUUCAUACUCACUGUGACACAUUUAGUGUGUGUUUAAACAAAGAGGUGUGCGUGUAUAUGAGUAUGUGUGUGUGCACAUGUGUGUUAAAGUUUACGUAAAUAGUGCUGCACUAAGCCCAUGUUUGUUUCCAGCUUUUUCCCUGGGACCCUUUCUGAGCUCUUCCCAUGCUGCUAGUGAUCUCAGGGCACCUCUGCAUAAGAUCCCACAGUAUGUACCAGUGACAUUUUACCUCUCUUCCCCAAGCACAGGCACAUAGAUUGCCAGAAACUUCGAUGCCACACACACACACA